This 342-nucleotide ribosomal RNA is filed under the name uncultured Desulfovibrio sp. Its description in RNAcentral is "bacterial SSU rRNA". It matches the Rfam family "Bacterial small subunit ribosomal RNA", at positions 1039 to 1382 of the family's 1533-position model. The record is from RNAcentral. Lineage: Bacteria; Pseudomonadati; Thermodesulfobacteriota; Desulfovibrionia; Desulfovibrionales; Desulfovibrionaceae.
UGCUGCAUGGCUGUCGUCAGCUCGUGCCGUGAGGUGUGGGUUAAGUCCCGCAACGAGCGCAACCCUAUUGCCAGUUGCUACCAGGUAAUGCUGGGCACUCUGGUGAGACUGCCCCGGUUAACGGGGAGGAAGGUGGGGACGACGUCAAGUCAUCAUGGCCCUUACGCCUAGGGCUACACACGUACUACAAUGGCGCAUACAAAGGGCAGCGAUACCGCGAGGUGGAGCCAAUCCCAAAAAGUGCGUCCCAGUCCGGAUUGCAGUCUGCAACUCGACUGCAUGAAGUUGGAAUCGCUAGUAAUUCGAGAUCAGCAUGCUCGGGUGAAUGCGUUCCCGGGCCUU